UACGAAGGGUGCUAGCGUUGUUCGGAAUCACUGGGCGUAAAGCGCGCGCAGGCGGCUACUCAAGUCAGGGGUGAAAUCCUUGGGCUUAACCCAAGAAUUGCCUUUGAAACUGUGUAGCUGGAGUGUCGGAGGGGAUAGCGGAAUUCCUAAUGUAGCGGUGAAAUGCGUAGAUAUUAGGAGGAACACCGGUGGCGAAGGCGGCUAUCUGGACGACAACUGACGCUGAGGCGCGAAAGCGUGGGGAGCGAACAGG
RNAcentral lists this ribosomal RNA (253 nucleotides) under uncultured bacterium. RNAcentral's name for it is "partial 16S ribosomal RNA". It matches the Rfam family "Bacterial small subunit ribosomal RNA", at positions 524 to 776 of the family's 1533-position model. The record is from RNAcentral.